UUAAGGUCUAGGUCCAGGUCAAUCCGGACCUAACCCGACCCAUUGCCACCGUUAGCCUUGAUUGCCAUGUUUCUACAAGAUAAAUAAAUAUAUGCAACCUUGGAUGGAGAUUAGGACGUCUAAAAUAUAAAGGAACUUCAGGUUUGGUGUCGGGAGGCAUGGUAAUUGAAGCCGAGAGGAAGACGAAGUGUCCCUGAUGACAAAUGCAUGAGAGAGAGAGACAGACUAUGUGGCCUUUUCCUUUCGCCUCCUCACCAUCUCUGAUUUUCUUCAUUUUCUUUCUCUCUCUAGAAUCAUGAUUUAUGUUCUCACUGAGGCUGCCUUCCUCAACAAAAUCAACACCAUCCAUUAAAAGAAUGAGUUCCGCCUCUAAUGAUCACCCCAAAAUGUCAAGGCGUUUUUUAUCUAGUUUUCAUUGGAAGUUCAUUGCAAGUUUUCAGCUUUUUCUAUGAAAAAGAUUAGUUGCAGAGUGGAUAAGUAACAUGUAUUCUCUCUCUUUCAUUUGCAUGUCUCUAUGGGUUUCAAAAGGCAUAUUUUGAUCUUAAUUUUUUUAUUCUUUUUUUAAAAAUAGUGAAGUAAGAAGUGGUAACAUAUUUAGGAACAACCUGGAUGCUUUCUCCAGAUUUCAUCCGUACAAUUUGGGCUUUGGGUUUGGACAUUUUACAUGCUUAUUAUACUAGAGAGAGGGUGGAAGUUCAUUGUGUCCAUAAGAGAGACUUAUUUAUUAUUCAUUUUGGUCAUUCUAUUCAUAGUUCCUUUAUUUGUGAUUUGCAGUCCAUCCAUAUAUAGCUAUUUCCUUUAUAUUUUUGUUUUUUCAUUUUUUAUGGAGACCAUUUACUUUUUCUCCAUUGAGUGCCUCCAUGUUCUUAUGUAUAAUAUUAUAUUCAAAAUCAAGAAAAACUAUGUCGUAACAACUCUAACUUCUUUAUAUAGUUUGUUAUUUAAAAUGAAUUAUACAACCUAACCUUUGACUAAAGCUAAUAGGCUCGCAAGAAAUCUUUAUAUCUCAAUGUGUGUGGUUCCAAUGCACACCAAGUGUUUGGAAAAGUGCCUCAACAGGAUAUAGCUCAAGGUGGUGAGUUCAAAAACUUAUAUGAAUUAAGUCUUGAAAUAAUUUAUGUUAUCUAGGCAUCGAUGGGUAUAUCUAUAUGUGAACUUCAAAUACUUAGUAGGUUACAUGAAAUGAAACAUGCUUAUCAAUGACUAAUUCUUUCUUAGAAGGUUACAGGAAAUGAAACAUGCUUAUCAAUGACUAACUCUUUCUUUUGCUAAAACGCAAUUUCCAAAUCUUGGCGUAUGCAUGAAUGCAGACAAAAUCACAAGCUGUGCAUGCAUUUAUCCUCAUAUCUAAACCUACUUUUGAUGUGUCUUUAUUCUAGCUUACAUUGAUGAUUAAUGACCACAACAAUGUAUUUAUAGAAAUAAGAGAAAAUGGAGCAGAUGGGUUUGGUUCCUUGGGAGUGGAUGCAUUUAUCCUCAUAUCUAAACCUACUUUUGAUGUGUCUUUAUUUCUAGCUUACAUUGAUGAUUAAUGACCACAACAAUGUAUUUAUAGAAAUAAGAGAAAAUGGAGCAGAUGGGUUUGGUUCCUUGGGAGUGGAUGCAAGAGAAGACAAAAUGGAGAUAAUGGGUUGCGAAUAGUACAAGAUAUAAUACUAGCUUUUAAAGAACAAAGAAUAAUAAUGGUUUGAGGGCUUUGGAUUGUAUUUUAAGGACAGAGAAGUUUUAGAGGGCUUUUGAUUGUCUUUUAAGGACAAAGAAGUUUUAAGGGGAGAGAGGGUGAGCUUAAUAGGCCUUCACAUUUGGGAGGCAAACAAAGAGCUCAUAUCCAUAUUAGAGAGAGAGAGUGAGAGUUCAAAACUAUCUAUAAAAAGUAUCCCCUUCAUUACAAGUAACAAGAAAUGUGUUUUUCUAGCAGUAUGGCUUCCCUCUAAUUCUGUUGCAAUCAUAAAGGAAAUUAUUUACUGG
Molecule: long non-coding RNA, 1968 nt
Filed under: Amborella trichopoda
Lineage: Eukaryota; Viridiplantae; Streptophyta; Magnoliopsida; Amborellales; Amborellaceae
Description: long non-coding RNA (ATRI_LNC000628)
Source: RNAcentral